GCUACNAUGCAGUCGAGCGGGGUAANAGGUAGCUUGCUACCUGACCUAGDNABASNRDNMNVNRSNNNNNRDNRNNWAUWWWNDNABASNRNCNMUNRNMNVNUHNSNNMNUAUNNNCCCUACGGGGGAAAGCAGGGGAUCUUCGGACCUUGCGCUAAUAGAUGAGCCUAAGUCAGAUUAGCUAGUUGGUGGGGUAAAGGCCUACCAAGGCGACGAUCUGUAGCGGGUCUGAGAGGAUGAUCCGCCACACUGGGACUGAGACACGGCCCAGACUCCUACGGGAGGCAGCAGUGGGGAAUAUUGGACAAUGGGCGAAAGCCUGAUCCAGCCAUGCCGCGUGUGUGAAGAAGGCCUUUUGGUUGUAAAGCACUUUAAGCGAGGAGGAGGCUACUUAGAUUAAUACUCUAGGAUAGUGGACGUUACUCGCAGAAUAAGCACCGGCUAACUCUGUGCCAGCAGCCGCGGUAAUACAGAGGGUGCGAGCGUUAAUCGGAUUUACUGGGCGUAAAGCGUGCGUAGGCGGCUUUUUAAGUCGGAUGUGAAAUCCCUGAGCUUAACUUAGGAAUUGCAUUCGAUACUGGGAAGCUAGAGUAUGGGAGAGGAUGGUAGAAUUCCAGGUGUAGCGGUGAAAUGCGUAGAGAUCUGGAGGAAUACCGAUGGCGAAGGCAGCCAUCUGGCCUAAUACUGACGCUGAGGUACGAAAGCAUGGGGAGCAAACAGGAUUAGAUACCCUGGUAGUCCAUGCCGUAAACGAUGUCUACUAGCCGUUGGGGCCUUUGAGGCUUUAGUGGCGCAGCUAACGCGAUAAGUAGACCGCCUGGGGAGUACGGUCGCAAGACUAAAACUCAAAUGAAUUGACGGGGGCCCGCACAAGCGGUGGAGCAUGUGGUUUAAUUCGAUGCAACGCGAAGAACCUUACCUGGUCUUGACAUAGUAAGAACUUUCCAGAGAUGGAUUGGUGCCUUCGGGAACUUACAUACAGGUGCUGCAUGGCUGUCGUCAGCUCGUGUCGUGGAGAUGUUGGGUUAAGUCCCGCAACGAGCGCAACCCUUUUCCUUAUUUGCCAGCGGGUUAAGCCGGGAACUUUAAGGAUACUGCCAGUGACAAACUGGAGGAAGGCGGGGACGACGUCAAGUCAUCAUGGCCCUUACGACCAGGGCUACACACGUGCUACAAUGGUCGGUACAAAGGGUUGCUACCUAGCGAUAGGAUGCUAAUCUCAAAAAGCCGAUCGUAGUCCGGAUUGGAGUCUGCAACUCGACUCCAUGAAGUCGGAAUCGCUAGUAAUCGCGGAUCAGAAUGCCGCGGUGAAUACGUUCCCGGGCCUUGUACACACCGCCCGUCACACCAUGGGAAUUUGUUGCACCAGAAGUAGGUAGUCUAACCGCAAGGAGGACGCUAC
This 1402-nucleotide ribosomal RNA is filed under the name Acinetobacter sp. RNAcentral describes it as "partial 16S ribosomal RNA". The record is from RNAcentral. Lineage: Bacteria; Pseudomonadati; Pseudomonadota; Gammaproteobacteria; Moraxellales; Moraxellaceae.